UUUUUUUAUUUUCUUGUUUAUGAAAAACAAAAAACUGCAAAAAUAUUUCAAUUUGUUUCUCUGAAUUUCUUUUCUUUUUAUUGAGUCAUACCGAGGAGAAGACCACGAUGAAAAUGUUGAGUGGCUCUCAUAUGCAUUAUUGUUGAUCUGACAAAGAGUCCAUAUUACCUUGUCUUCUUCUUUUGAUUAAAAUGUUUGCAGAUUCCAGCUUAGUCCACGACACACUUGCAUAUUAUUAUUUUCAAAUCAUUCGGUUGUGCAAGUGAAAGGCAAUAAGGACGAUAUUCGAUGAACUGGCCGUGGCAGAGAGAAAUGGGUAUGAACUUGAUUUGUUUUAUUUUUUAAAUAUGUUUAACCUAGUAUCCAUCAUUUCAACCUAUUAUGACCAAACAUGUUUGCGAUGACAAUUAGAGAUUAUAGUUUCUCAUGCCAUGCAUAAGUAGCUAGGAGUGGAUAAUGAUUUAUCCAGGAUGUCAGCAUUGUGUUCAAAUGAUUGUGAUGUAGUAUGAUGAUAUGGUAUCCUCCUCUGAAUGUUCGAUGGCUUGACUUGGCACAUGUUCAUGCAUGUAGUUGAAUCAAAACCAACAUGGACUCUAUGAUAUUUAUGUUCAUGGUGUUCAUAUCCUACUCAUGCUAGUAUCCAAUGCUACUUAUGCAUAAUGCAUGUUCAUGACCGUUGUUGCUCUCUACUUGGCCGCUUCUCAACCUAUUUGCUAGCCUAUGGUUUAAGUUAGUGGUCGUGUCCUACAGUCAGUGUGUGCUCUGAUACCAUCUUAUAGCAACCAGACCUCAAACAGUCUAGUCUCUGUGCAUCAAUGUCAUCCUUGGAUCUGUAAUGCUGACACACACAGUACUUGAGGAUUUAUAACAGAGUUUCAAUCACACACUUAUUACAUUGAAUGUCUCAAAAAAGAACUUAUUACAAUAAUAUGGCUUAAGGCCAUCUAAAAAAAGAUAACAACGAAAGGCUUGGAAGAUAAAGUGAGUCCAUCAACUCCAACGGCAUAGCUGAGUGAAUGACAACGACCUAUGGCAACUUACUCGUCGUCUGAAAAGUCUGCAACAUGAUAUGUUGCAGCCCGAAACGGGUCAACACAUGGAAUAUGCUAGCAAAGCAACAACAGAGAGUAAUGAACAGAAUAAAUGAUAUCACUACAUGCAUAUAUGGCUGGUGGAAAGCUCCAUGGUUACAGUUUUUGCAUAAAGCCAAUUUUUCCCUACAUCAAAGGAAUAAAUUUUAUUUAACUAUCAUGGUGGUUGUUAAACAUUGAGAAGGUUCCUCCAAAUCAAUCCCAAUUAAGCAAUAUCAUUAACCCAACAAAUUAAUUUAGAGAGAUGAGAUCAACAGGAUAAUCCAAGAACCAGAUACUCAAGAUGUCCAUAAUCGGGGACAUGCCUAACUGAUACGUCUCCAACGUAUCUAUAAUUUAUGAAGCAUUCAUGCUAUUUUAUUAUCUGUUUUGAAUGAUUAUGGGCUUUAUUAUACACUUUUAUAUUACUUUUGGGACUAACCUAUUAACCGGAGGCCCAGUCCAUAUUGUUGUUUUAUUGCCUGUUUCAGUAUUUCGAGGAAAAGGAAUAUCAGACAGAGUCGAAACGGAACAAAAUCAACUGGAGAAGUUAUUUUUGGAAGGAAAGCCACCUGAUAGACUUGGACUCUACGUUAGAAGAUACGGGAGCUGGCCACGAGGGUGGGGGGCAUGCCCACCCCCCUAGGGCGCGCCCCCUGCCUCGUGGGGCCCUGAAGCUCCGCUGACGUACCCCUUGCACCCAUAUAUACCUACGUACCCUAAAACUUCCAGAACAGAAGAUAGAUCGGGAGUUCCGCCGCUGCAAGCCUCUGUAGCCACCAAAAACCUCUCGGGAGCCCUUUCCGGUACCCUACCGGAGGGGGAUCCCAUCACCGGUGGACAUCUUCAUCAUCCCGGCACUAUCCAUGACGAUGAGGGAGUAGUUCACCCUCGGGGCUGAGGGUAUGUACCAGUAGCUAUGUGUUUGAUCUGUCUCUCUCGUGUUCUCUCUCGUGUUUCCUCUAUGGCACGAUCUUGAUGUAUCCCGAGCUUUGCUAUUGUAGUUGGAUCUUAUGAUGUUUCUCCCCCUCUACUCUCUUGUGAUGAAUUGAGUUCCCCCUUUGAAGUUAUUUUAUCGGAUUGAGUCUUUUAUGAGAACACUUGAUGUAUGUCUUGCGUGGGAUAACCAUGGUGACAAUGGGUUAUCCUAUUGAUCCACUUGAUGUAUGUUUUUGUGAACAACUUGCGGGUUUCGUGACAUUGGGAACCUAUGCAUAGGGGUUGGCACACGUUCUUGACUCUCCGGUAGUAGCUUUGGGGCACUCUUUGAAGUACUUUUGUGUUGGUUGGAUGAAUUUGAGAUUGUGUGAUGCAUAUCAUAUAAUCAGGCCCACGGAUACUUGAGGUGGCAAUGGAGUAUCUAGGUGACAUUAGAGUUUUGCUUGAUUUGUGUCUUAAGGUGUUAUUCUAGUACGAACUCUCUUAUAGAUCGAUCCGAAAGAAUAACUUUGAGGUGGUUUCGUACCCUACCAUAAUCUCUAUGUUUGUUCUCUGCUAUUAGUGGCUUUGGAGUGACUCUUUGUUGCAUGUUCAGGGCUUGUUAUAUGAUCUAUCUAUGUUGUUAUUGUUGAGAGAACUUGCACUAGUGAAAGUAUGAACCCUAGGCCUUGUUUCCUACCAUUGCAAUACCGUUUACGCUCACUUUACCGCUCGCUACCUUGCUGUUUUUAUUAUUUCAUAUUACAAAAACCUAUAUCUACUAUCCAUAUUGCACUUGUAUCACCAUCUCUUCGCCGAACUAGUGCACCUAUACAAUUUACCAUUGUAUUGGGUGUAUUGGGGACACAAGAGACUCUUUGUUCUUUGCUUGCAGGGUUGUUUGAGAGAGACCAUCUUCAUCCUACGCCUCCUACGGAUUGAUAAACCUUAGGUCAUCCACUUGAGGGAAAUUUGCUACUGUCCUACAAACCUGUGCACUUGCAGGCCCAACAACGUCUACAAGAAGAAGGUUGUGUAGUAGACAUCAAGCUCUUUUCUGGCGCCGUUGCCGGGGAGGUGAGUGAUUGAAGGUAUAUCUUUAGAUCUUGCAAUCGAAUCUUUUUGUUUCUUGUUUUAUCACUAGUUUAGUUUAUAAAAGAAAACUACAAAAAAAUGGAGUUAAGUUUGUCUCAUACGCUUUAACUUUUUAAUAUCUUUUGUGAGAAUGAUGGAAAGGAAAAUUGUGCUCAAGUGCUAGAAGAAGAAAUAUUUAAAUUGUUUGGCACUAAAUAUUUGAAUGAUGAGCAUGAUUGCAAUGUUGUUAGUACGAAUUCUUUGAAUAUCCAUGAUGCUAAUGAUGAUUGCCUUAGUUAUGAUGAAAAUGUAUUCUAUAAACAUGUCAAUUUUUGUGGAGUGCAUUGGGUUUGUAAGUACACACCAAAUAGGGAAGAUAGAUAUUGCAAGAGGCAUAAGUACUUAGAAACCAAAUUGUUGCAAGAAGAGCUAGAUGAAUGUGCUGAAAGAUUCAAUAUUUAUAGUACCCCUUAUGAACUUUGCAAUGAACAUGGUCAUUUAAAGCUCCAAUGCUAUUUGUUUCAUGAUCAAGUCGUUUCCAAAUAUUGUGAUAAUUUGAUUACCCUUGAGCAUCAUAAAGAGCUUAGCCUUCUUUUGGGUUAUGAAGAAAUGAAACGUAUAACUGAGGGUAUUCCAAAAUUUAAUCUUGAUAAAUUUCUUGAUUUUGAUCUAGAGAAUAUUUAUAUGUAGUGUGCGGUGAAUUGCAUUGAAAAUCCUUAUAUUGCCAAUUACCUAAAGAAAAUAAAGCAAAUAGAAGAUGAUGAGAAUACUAAUGAAAGGUAAGAGACUUCCCAAUAUCCUCCUAUUAUUUCUUAUGAUGAAUCAGGUGACGAGGAGGAGCUUUCUAUUCAACCAAUCUCAUCAAUAAGGAGCUCAAAGAGGAAGGUUGAACCCACACAUAAUUUGAAUAAGAAAAAGAAAAGAAGGAGCAACAAAGGUAGAAAGGUAUCCCUCCCAAAUGAUGUUGCUCCUACUACUCAUUGUGAUUAUGAUAAUUGCUUUACUAUUGGUGCUAUCCAUAUUUUUAAUGAUGAGAGUGAUUAUGCUUAUGAUAUGGAAGGGCCCAAGCUUGGGGAAGCUAUGUUUGAUGAGGAUGAAAUAUUUGAGAAUUUAUUUGCUGAAAUUAAUGAUUGUCCCAAGCUUGGGGAUGCUGUGUUUAAUGAAGAUGAUAUUUUUAGCAUCCCAAGUUUUGAUAUGCAAAGUUGUUAUGAUGAUAGCAUGCCUCCUACUUAUGAUGAUUAUAUUGAUGAAAGUGGGUUUGGAAGAGUGUCAACUUUAGGAAGUAGUGAUCCCACUAUUUUGUAGGAUGUUGAAUUUUAUUGUCAUGAAUAUGGAAGUGGAUUUGGAAGAGUGUCAACUUUAUUUAGUGAUUCCACUAUCUUGGGAGAGGUUUCAAUCGGUUAUGAUGAGAAUAAAGUUGCUACUUAUGAUGAUUAUUGUGAUGAAACUUAUGCUAUAAAAAGUAGUGAUGAUUAUAUAUACAUAUCUUGUCAUAAUUAUGAUUACCCUUUUUCUGAACAUUACUCUUUUAAUGUGGAAACAAUUUUUAGUGUUCAAGUCUUUUAUGAUACUCUCACUAUUCCGAACGAGAAGAAUUUUGCUUAUGAGGAGAGUAGUAAAUUUUCUAUGCUUGUAGAUCAUGAAAAGAAUGCUUUAAGUGCUGGUUAUAUUGUUGAAUUCAUUCAUGAUGCUACUGAAACUUAUUAUGAGGGAGGAAUAUAUGCUUGUAGGAAUUGCAAUAAUGUCAAGUUUCCUCUCUAUGUACCUAAAAUUUCAAAGUUAUGCUUGUUUUCUCUUCCUAUGCUUGCUGAUUAUUGUUCACAUAAGUUGUUUUCUCACAAAAUCCCUAUGCAUAGUAAGUGGGUUAGGAUUAAAUGUGCUAGGCAUAUGCUUCAUGAUGCUCCCUUUAUGUUUCAAUUCUUAUCUUUUAUGUGAGCAUCAUUGCCAUCAUCAUGCCUAGCUAAAAAAGGCAUUAAAGAAAAGUGCUUGUUGGGAGACAACCCAAUAUCUACCCUUACUGUUUUUGUGUGUCCACAUGAUUAUGCUAAUGUAGUAAUAAUGUUUUAUAGCUUUUGUUUCAAUAAAGUGCCAAGUAGAACCUUUGGGAAGACUUGGGUGAAGUUUAUGUGAUCUUGCUGUGAAAAACAGAAACUUUAGUGCUCACGAUAUUAGCUGCCAUUUAUUACUGGAGAGUGCUUUUAGGUUGAUUAUUUUUGCAUAUGAUUAAUAGACAAAUUUCUCAGGUUCAGAAAUUUAUUUAAUAAUUUUUGGGGUUCCAGAAGUAUACGUUUUAUACAGAUUACUACAGACUGUUUUGUUUUUGACAGAUUCUGUUUUCUAUGUGUUGUUUGCUUAUUUUGAUGCAUCUAUGGCUAGUAUUAAGUGGUAUGAACCAUAGAGAAGUUAGAAUACAGUAUAUAUUACACCAAUAUGAAUUUAGAAUGAGUUCAUUACAGUACCUAAGUGGUGGUUUUAUUUUCUUAUACUAACGGAGCUUACGAGUUUUGUGUUGAGUUUUGUGUGGUUGAAGUUUUCAAGUUUUGGGUAAAGAUUCGAUGGACUAUGGAAUAAGGAGUCGAAAGAUCCUAAGCUUGGGGAUGCCCCGGAAGGCAUCCCCUCUUUCGUCUUCGUUCAUCGGUAACUUUACUUGGAGCUAUAUUUUUAUUCACAACAUGAUAUGUGUUUUUCUUGGAGCGUCAUUAUAUCUUGUUAGUAUUUGCUUGCUGUUAGUUAUAAUAAUGUUUUGCAUCUUUAGUUUCAAUAAAAAAGUCAAGGAUAGCCUUUGCCAUGCUUAUUUUGCUAGUAUACAUGUUGCUGUUUGAAAACAGAAAGCUUACGAGUUUUUUGUUGAGUUUUGUGUUGUGAAGUUUUCAAGUUUUGGGUAAAGAUUCGAUGGACUAUGGAAUAAAGAGUGUCAAGAGCCUAAUCUUGGGGAUUCCCAAGGCACCCCAAGGCAAUAUUCAAGGACAACCAAGAGCCUAAGCUUGGGGAUGCCCCGGAUGGCAUCCCCUCUUUCGUCUUAGUCUAUCAGUAACUUUACUUGGAGCUAUAUUUUUAUUCACCACAUGAUAUGUGUUUUGCUUGGAGCAUCAUUUUCUUUUGUUAGUAUUAGCUUGCUUUUAUUUAGAAUAAUGUUUUUGCAUCUUUAGUUUCAAUAAAAAUGUCAAGGAUAGCCUUUACCAUGCUUAUUUUGCUAGUAUACAUGUUGCUGUUUGAAAACAGAAAGUUUACCGCUGUUGCAAAAAUUCCCUAGAAAAAUCAGAGAAUGGUAUAACAUUGAAUCUUUUUUCAUAUUCAGAUAUGAUAAAUUUAUUACAGUGGGAAUUUUAGUUCAUAAUUUUUGUAGUCAUGGAAGUAUUCAUACUCUUGCAUUCUUUACAGACUGUACUGUUUUGGCAGAUUGCUGUUAUGGUUGCAUUGUUUGCAUAUGUUUGCUUGUUUAAUGAUUCUAUUUGAGGAUAGGAGUAUUAAAUAUACAGAGGCAUUUAGUAUGAAAUGUUGAAUAAUUUUAGUGAUUUGUUACAGUAGAAGAUGAUAUGGUUUUGCAUUGGUUUAUACUAACCUAUCUCAUGAGUUCUUGUUGAGUUUGUUGUGAAUGAAGCUUUUGAUAAAAAGAGAAACCAUGAUAUGAGAGGAAUUAAGGAGACACAAAAGUUCAAGCUUGGGGAUGCCCAAGGCUCCCCAAGAUAAUAUUUCAAGAAGUCUCAAGCAUCUAAGCUUGGGGAUGCCCCGGUAGGCAUCCCACCUUUCUUCUUCAACAACUAUCGGUUAGUAUCGGUUGAGCCUAAGUUUUUGCUUCUUCACAUGAUUUGUGCUAUCCUUGCAAUGUCAUUUUAUUUUGUUUUGCUUGCUGCUUGAAUACAAUACCAAGAUCUGAAAUUCUUUAUUGAGAGAGAGUCUUCGCAUAGUUGCAUAAUUAUUUUGCUACUCAUUGAUCUUCACUUAUAUCUUGUUGGAGUAGUUUUUCAUUUACUCGUGUGCUUCACUUAUAUCCUAUGAGUAAAUGGUUGAAUGAGUUGAAUGUCAUAAAUCUGAAAUUAUAUAUGUUUCAUUUGCUUAUCCCAUGGGGAGUAAUGACUUCACAUCUAAGAAGUAGAGGUUGUAAAUUUAUUGACGGUUAGCAAGCAUUGUAUUAGUCAUUUGAACAAUUCAUGAAAGAAUAUUGAAGGAAGAGAGAUUUCACAUAUAAAUAUAUUUUCAUAGACAUCUUUUAUAGUUGUGAGCACUCAUUAAGUAUGACAUGCUAAAGAGUUGUUGUUGGACAAGGAAGACAACGUAAUGGGUUAUGUUUUCUCGCAUCUCAGUUAAAGUAUAUUGUCAUGGAUCAUUCAAACAUGUUGAGCUUGCCUUUCUCCCCUUGCUAGCCUAAAUUUAUGUACUAAGCGGGAAUACUGCUUGUGCAUCCAUUAUCCUUAAACCCAGUUUUUGCCAUGAGUGCCCACCAUACCUACCUAUAUGCGGUAUUUACCUGCCGUUCCAAGUAAAUUUGCAUGUGCAAAACUCUAAACCUUCAAAUUAUAAUCUGUUUUGUAUGCCCGAAUUGCUCAUGUAGCAAUUAGGGGCUGUCAGUGUCUUCCAUGCUAGGUGGGUUAUUCUCAAGAGGAGUGGACUCUGCUCCUCAUUCACGAGAAAGUGGCGGUAAUCGGGAUGCCCAGUCCCAUGAUCCAAAAAGAUCAAAGCAAAUCAAAAUAAUUAAACAAAACUCCCGCAGGAUUGUUGUUAGUUGGAGGCACUCGUUGUUUCGAGCAAGCCAUGGAUUGAUGCUUGUUGGUGGUUGGGGGAGUAAAAACUUUUACCAUUUUGUUUGGGAACCGCCUAUAAUGUAUGUAGUAUGGAAGAUAUUGGGAACUCUUGAUUGUUAUGUUGAAAAUGAGAUCAUGCCUCUCAAAAUUAUUUAUCUCUAUUUUAAAAAUCGAGCUCUGGCACCUCUGCAAAUCCCUACUUCCCUCUGCGAAGGGCCUAUCUUUUACUUUAUGCAAGAGUCAAGGUGAUCUUCACCUUUCCAUUUUUCAUUUUAUCCUUUGGCAGGCACUUUGUGUUAGGGUGAUCCUGAUAUAUAUAUCCAAUUGGAUGUACGUUAGCAUGAACUAUUAUUGUUGACAUCACCCAAAGGUGAAUAUGUUUGGAGGCAACCUUAUAAGCCCCAAGCUUCAUAACCGUGUCUGAUUAAAACUUCAUAACCACAAGUAUUGCUUGAGUGUUAGCAAUUGUAGAAGACUAUAUGAUAGUUGAGUAUGUGGAGUUUUCUAUUCCUGAAAGUAAGAUGAAUUGCAAUUGUUUGAUGACUAAGAAUAAAGUUUGCUAGUUUUCAAGAAAGUUUAUGGUCUAUGCUUUAACUUGUGAAUUGCUUGUUACUAGUUCGUGAAAAGUUUUAUGAGAUGAACUAUUGUUAUGACAUAUUAUCAUGCUAGAAAAGGUGAUUGAAAUUAUCAUUGAUCAAACUUCUGCACCUCUAGCAUUCACACAUCAUAAAUUCUUUCUUUAUCAUUUACCUACUCGAGGACGAGUAGGAAUUAAGCUUGGGGAUGCUGAUACGUCUCCAACGUAUCUAUAAUUUAUGAAGCAUUCAUGCUAUUUUAUUAUCUGUUUUGAAUGAGUAUGGGCUUUAUUAUACACUUUUAUAUUACUUUUGGGACUAACCUAUUAACCGGAGGCCCAGCCCAUAUUGCUGUUUUAUUGCCUAUUUUAGUAUUUCGAGGAAAAGGAAUAUCAGACGGAGUCGAAACGGAACGAAAUCAACUGGAGAAGUUUUUUUUGGAAGGAAAGCCACCGGAUAGACUUGGACUCUACGUCAGAAGAUACGAGAGCUAGCCACGAGGGUGGGGGGCGCCCACCCCCCUAGGGCGCGCCCCCCUGCCUUGUGGGGCCCCCGAAGCUCCACCGACGUACCCCUUGCACCCAUAUAUACCUACGUACCCUAAAACUUCCAGAACAGAAGAUAGAUCGGGAGUUCCGCCGCCGCAAGCCUCUGUAGCCACCAAAAACCUCUCGAGAGCCCGUUCCGGCACCCUGCCGGAGGGGGAUCCCAUCACCGACGGCCAUCUUCAUCAUCCUGGCACUAUCCAUGACGAGGAGGGAGUAGUUCACCCUCGGGGCUGAGGGUAUGUACCAGUAGCUAUGUGUUUGAUCUCUCUCUCUCUCGUGUUCUCUCUCGUGUUUCCUCUAUGGCACGAUCUUGAUGUAUCCCGAGCUUUGCUAUUGUAGUUGGAUCUUAUGAUGUUUCUCCCCCUCUACUCUCUUGUGAUGAAUUGAGUUUCCCCUUUGAAGUUAUUUUAUCGGAUUGAGUCUUUUCUGAGAACACUUGAUGUAUGUCUUGCGUGGGAUAACCGUGGUGACAAUGGGUUAUUCUAUUGAUCCACUUGAUGUAUGUUUUGGUGAUCAACUUGCGGGUUUUGUGACAUUGGGAACCUAUGCAUAGGGGUUGGCACACGUUCUUGACUCUCCGGUAGUAGCUUUGGGGCACUCUUUGAAGUACUUUUAUGUUGGUUGGAUGAAUAUGAGAUUGUGUGACGCAUAUCGUAUAAUCAUGCCCACGGAUACUUGAGGUGACAAUGGAGUAUCUAGGUGACAUUAGGGUUUUGGUUGAUUUGUGUCUUAAGGUGUUAUUCUAGUACGAACUCUCUUAGAGAUCGAUCCGAAAGAAUAACUUUGAGGUGGUUUCGUACCCUACCAUAAUCUCUAUGUUUGUUCUCCGCUAUUAGUGGCUUUGGAGUGACUCUUUCUUGCAUGUUGAGGGCUUGUUAUAUGAUCAAUCUAUGUUAUUAUUGUUGAGAGAACUUGCACUAGUGAAAGUAUGAACCCUAGGCCUUGUUUCCUACCAUUGCAAUACCGUUUAUGCUCACUUUUACCGCUCGCUACCUUGCUGUUUUUAUUAUUUCAGAUUACAAAAACCUAUAUCUACUAUCCAUAUUGCACUUGUAUCACCAUCUCUUUGCCGAACUAGUGCACCUAUACAAUUUACCAUUGUAUUGGGUGUGUUGGGGACACAAGAGACUCUUUGUUAUUUGGUUGCAGGGUUGUUUGAGAGAGACCAUCUUCAUCCUACGCCUCCUACGGAUUGAUAAACCUUAGGUCAUCCACUUGAGGGAAAUUUGCUACUAUCCUACAAACCUGUGCACUUGCAUGCCCAACAACAUCUACAAGAAGAAGGUUGUGUAGUAGACAUCACUAACCAUGAUUAGUUUGUACACUAUGCAGAGGUUUGCACACUUUUCCCCACAAGACUCAAUCUCAUCCGUUAGAUUUCUCGCACUACAUGGUGUUUGAGAAACGGAUGACCGAGACAUGGUCUUUUAGAAACAUUAACUCUUUACUCUGGAUGGACAGUUACACCUACUUUCCCCUACAUCUUCUAGCCCACCACUAAAAUAGGUCAUGCAACCUACUCAACUAUGCUAGAGCCCAUAAUAGCUUGUGGUUGCACACGGAAGAUUCUAGCAUGAAUAAUCUUAUGAUCCCUUUGAGCCUGGGUGGCGAACCGUAGGAUGAUCACACGGGUACUCCGGGAUAUCCUAGGACAACACUGGAUUCUCCAGGUGCCCGCACCCAAUCCACCCAAAUGUGUACUUAAGUAGCCACCUUAAGUUAUCCAAUAAUUAAAAAAUCUCACAUCUGUCAUGGAUACACUCACCCAAUCCACGUCUACGAGCAUAGCAUAGCAAUCCUGAGCAUAACGUAGAAGUGACUCCCAAAGUUUUGAUAAUAAAAGGGCAAUAGGUGCUACAUCAUCAUCUACUUCCCAAACCCACAUGUCAAACAGAUCCUAACCAUGAAAUGUUUGAGGAUUGAAACUAAUGCGUAAAACCUAGGUAGUAACGGGAUAUGAUCAAAGUGUUACUUGCCUUGCUGAUGAUCUGCAAAACCUAGAGACUCAUAGUAGCACGCUUCGCACUCCGAGAAUUCUAUCGCAAACAAACAAUAACAUACAUAAGCACUCAAACAAGAAGCACGGGUAAAACUUAAAUAAGAAGAUCUAACCAGAAAGUUCAACUGAAGAACUCCGGUUUGCAAAAAGAAUCAAAUCAAACGGAGCAACGAAACUCAAACUACGAAUGAAACAAGAUUCGUUUACUAAUCUGGACUAAAGUUAAAUUUUACAAUACCAAAAUCAUGUUCAAGUUAGUUAAACAGAAAGAGUGCUUCGAGAUGAAGAUUUAGGCGCUGGUUACAUCUAAUUUGGAUAAACGAGCGAAAAGUUAUACUAGUUCGAAGAUCAGGGCAGAAAUCACGAUCGAAAAUAAUCACAGAUAAAACCCUGGAAAAUAAAACGAGACGAAUAGGCUAAUGAACAAAUGUUCGUUAACAGAACCUAGGCGGUGAACGGCAUUCGUUAAAAUGAACAAACGGACGAACGUCCGCUAAAUAACUAAACCGGAACAAAAAACCAAACCGAUCUAUUUAAAAAAUAGAUCUAGGGUUAAAAAACGAUUAACCAAAAAAAACGACGAACGGCAGCGGCGACGGCGGCUACCUCCGGCGAGGCGUCGGCGGGGCUCCGACGGAUGCGGCGGUGAGGGGCGACGGCGGCGCGGGCAGCGGCGGCUCGCGGCGCGGGCGGCGGUGGAUGCGGGUGCGGGACGGCGGUGGCGGGUGGCGUUGAGGGUGGCGGGGUGGCGGCUUGUAUAGGGGGUCGAGGGCUUCUGACUUGGGGGAGGGGGAGGACUCCAGCAAGUCCGACUCGGGCAUGGGAGGGAGGUGGCAGCGGCGACUUGGGCUGGCCUGCUCGGCUAGGCUUCGGCCCAGUCGGGCGGGGAAACCUUUUUGUUUAAUAAUUCCGCCGAAAACAGAAAAAUCCUAAUAAAAUAUUAAAAAAUCCUAAAACGCCAAAAACAAUUUUCACCGUCUAAAAAGAAUAUUUAGAACAAAGUGAGCAUUUUUCUGGCCUAAGAAUGCAAUUUUGAAAACAUGCAUAUUUUUCUAAUUGAAAUAAAAUAGCGAUAAACUCCAAAUAAAAUAUAAAUUUGAUUUUAACAAUUUUCCUCCGAUAUUUCUUUUAUUUUGGAGAAGUCAUUUUAUCCCCUCUCUUUUAUUUUGAUAAUGGAAAUAUUUGGAGAGAAAAUGAUUAAAACCAACAUGAUCCUCUUUUCAAUAUUUGAGAAAAUUCAAAUAUGAAAAUAGACGAAAUCCCCAAUUCUCUCCGUGGGUCCUUGAGUUGCGUAGAAUUUCUAGGAUCAACCAAAAUGCAAUAAAAUAUGAUAUGCAAUGAUGACCUAUGUAUAACAUUCCAAAUUGAAAAUUUGGGAUGUUACAAUCCUACCCCCCCUUAAGAUGAAUCUCGCCCUUGAGAUUCGGGUUGGCUAGGAAAUAGGUGCGGGUGGUCCUUCCGUAGGUCUUCCUCUCGUUCCCAGGUGGCUUCAUCCUCGGUAUGGUGCCUCCACUGAACUUUGCAAAACUUGAUAACCUUGUUGCGUGUGACUCGGCUGGAAAAUUUGAGAAUCUUCAUUGGUUUUUCCUUGUAGGUCAAAUCACUAUCUAGCUGAAUCGCUUCCAGUGGCACUGUAUCUCUCAGAGGAAUAUCAGCCAUCUCUACGUGGCACUUCUUCAACUGGGAAACGUGAAACACAUCGUGAACUCCUGACAAUCCUUCUGGCAAUUCCAACUUGUAAGCAACUUCUCCCAUACGUUCCAAAACUUUGUAUGGUCCCACAAAACAUGGUGCUAACUUUCCCUUAACUCCAAAACGCUUAACUCCUCGAAGUGGGGACACACGAAGAUAUACUCUGUCUCCGACUUCGUAAACUGUCUCUUUGCGUUUAGAAUCCGCAUAACUCUUCUGCCUGGACUGGGCUACCUUGAGUCUAUCCCAAAUCAGUUUAACCUUCUCUUCAAACUCCUUAAUCAAAUCUGGUCCAAACAACUGACGGUCUCCAACUUCAUCCCACAAUAACGGUGUCCUGCACCUCCUUCUGUACAAAGCUUCGAAAGGGGCCAUCUUCAAACUGGCUUGAUAACUAUUUUUAUAAGAUAACUCUGCAUACGGCAAGUUGUCGUCCCAACUAGAUCCAUAGUCUAGCGCACAAGCUCUCAACAUGUCCUCCAGAAUAUGAUUGACUCUCUCGGUCUGUCCAUCUGUCUGUGGAUGAAAGGAUGUACUGAACCCUAGCCUGGUACCCAAAGUCUCAUGCAACUAAUUCCAGAACUUUGAGGUAAACUGGAUUCCUCUAUUUGAUACAAUGGUCCUUGGAACUCCAUGCAGACAUAUGAUCCUGGUCAUGUAUAUCUUUGCCAACUUCGCACUUGUAUAAGUGGUCUUCACUAGGAUGAAAUGAGCUACUUUCGUCAACCGAUCCACUACAACCCAUAUCGAGUCAUAGCCUGAACGAGUCCAGGGCAAUCCCGUGAUAAAAUCCAUGCCAAGCUUGUCCCACUUCCAUUCAGGUAUCGGCAAUGGCUAUAGAAAUCCUGCUGGCUUAUGAUGCUUUGCCUUUACUCUUUGACAUACAUCACAAACUGCUACAUACUCAGCAAUGUCCUUCUUCAUUCCUGUCCACCAGAAACUUUCCUUCAAAUCCAGAUACAUCUUAGUGUAUCCUGGAUGAAUCGAAUACCGCGAAUCAUGGGCCUCCUGUAGAAUCAACUUCCUGAUCUCGGGGUCAUUAGGCACAUAUACACGAUCCUCAAACCAUAAGGUAUCAUGCUCAUAUUCACAAAAUCCUUUAGCCUUUCCUUUUCUCAUCCUUUCCUUUAUCUCGGCAAUCUCCUUGUCAAUCUUCUGGGCUUCUCUGAUCUUAUCCAUCAAAAUGGAAUGAAUUUCCAAUGCUGCUACAUAACCUCUUGGAACUAUUUCCAAACAUAGCUCGUGAAGAUCCUCUGCUAACUCCUUGGGUAAUUCUCCGGUCAUCAGCGUAUUAACAUAAUUCUUGCGGCUCAACGGAUCGGCUACUACAUUAGCCUUUCCGGGAUGAUAUUGCAGCUUCAUAUCAUAAUCCUUAAUGAGCUCCAACCAUCUCCUUUGCCUGAGGUUCAACUCCUUCUGCGUGAAGAUAUAUUUCAAACUCUUGUGAUCCGUGUAUACAUCACAAUGGUUUUCGAUGAGAAAAUGUCUCCAUGUCUUCAACGCAUGCACUACGGCUGCUAACUCCAAAUCAUGUGUAGCAUAAUUUAGCUCAUGGGGUUUAAGCUGUCGUGAAGCAUAUGAAACGACUCUUCCCUCCUGCAUAAGCACUGCUCCAAGUCCUCGACGAGAAACGUUGCAAUACACUUGAUAAUCCUUUCGUUGAUCUAGAAGAAUCAACACUGGGGUUGUAACCAAACGUUUCUUCAACUCCUGAAAAUUGGCUUCACACUCCUCAGCCCAUUUGAACUUGGUGUCUUUCUUCAACAACUCUGUCAUGGGCUUUUGCAAUCCUGGAGAAAUUCUCUAUGAACCUCCGGUAAUAUCCCGUGAGUCCAAGAAAACUCCUGAUCUCUCCAACUAACAUGGGUGCCACCCAUUUACUCACAGAAACAACCUUGGUGGGGUCUACUACUAUUUCUUCUUCGGAUAUAACAUGUCCGAGGAAUCCAACUUCCUUCAACCAAAACUCACACUUGCUGAACUUGGCAUAUAACUGAUGUUCCCUGAGCUUCUCGAGAACCAAACGCAAAUGCUCCUUAUGCUCCUCUUCAUUCUUCUAGUAGACCAAUAUAUCAUCAAUGAACACUAUAACGAACUUAUCCAAAAACUCCAUAAACACCUUAUUCAUCAUGUUCAUGAAAUAGGCAGGCGCAUUAGUCAGACCAAAUGACAUAACGGUAUACUCAUAUAGCCCGUACCUUGUGGUAAAAGCUGUCUUAGGUAUAUCCUGCUCUCGAAUCUUCAACUGGUGGUAUCCUGAUCGUAGAUCUAUCUUGGAAAAUACUUUAGCUCCUUGCAACUGGUCAAACAAAUCAUUGAUCAUCGGUAGUGGAUACUUGUUCUUGAUCAUCACCUCAUUCAGCGCACGAUAAUCAACAACUAUCCUUAAUGAUCCAUCCUUCUUCUCCACUAGAAGUACUGGGGAUCCCCAAGGUGACGAACUUGGUCGAAUGUAUCCUUUAUCCAGUAACUCCUUAAUCUGCUUCUUAAUUUCCUCCAAAUCCUUCAUGGGCAUCUGAUACGGUCUCUUUGAUAUUGGCACGGUGCCUGGCAAAAGCUCAAUCAAAAACUCAACGUCUCUAUCCGGUGGCAUUCCUGCCAACUCUUUCGGAAAUAUGUCGGGGUAAUCCUUCACCACUGGUACUUCCUCCUGUACAACUCCUGAUAAGGAAUUCACUUGAGUCCUCUUUGGCACAUGACGGGAUACAUACUUAAUCCUUCUUCCUUCUGGGUGGUGAGCAUAAUUGACUUACUAGUGCAAUCGAUGUUUCCUCCAUACAUCGAUAGCCAAUCCAUACCCAAAAUCACAUCCAAUCCUUGCGACUCCAGAAUUAUCAGGUCCGAGGGGAAAACAUGCCUACCUAUGGUCAAUGGCAUCUAAAAACAUCCUUGGCUUGCCAUAUGUUCUACUACUGGCGAGCUUACUAACAUAGGUGUCCUAAGAACUUUGGUGGGCAACUUAUACUUAUCCACAAAUCCCCUUGAUAUGUAUGAAUGCGAUGCACCAGUAUCAAAAAGAACGAUUGCAGUAAAUGACCUAACCAAAAACUUACCUAUAACUGCAUCUGGCUACUCUACUCCUCCAUGCUAACAUGGUUCACUUGUCCCCUGUUGAAAGGGUUGGGCUUCUUCCCAGAGCUUUCAUUGCCAUUUCCAUUCUUUUCUUCAGAAUACUCGGUGGCAUAAUGUCCAUUCUUCCCGCACUUGAAACAAGUAAUGUGACUUAGAUCCUUAUUGGCGGGCGUUGCCGGGUUGGAACGGUUCUGGCCAUUGCUUCUUCCAUUCCCAUUCUCAUUCUUGGGGCCACUAUGGUUAUGCGAACUUCCUCCAUUGGAAUUAUGGCCUCCAUGGUUAUGGUGAAUGUGUCCUCCCUAGUUCGGCGUAAAACGAGGCCUCUGCUAAGCUCCUGAAUUGUACUUCCCUUGUCCAUACUUCCUCUUGUGGUUUUCUAUCUACCAACUCCUGGUAGUUGUUGAAUGUUGCCACCAUCAACUACAUGCUCAGCUCAUCAUUCAGUCCUUCCAAAAACUUCUCCUGCUUAGCAGCAUCAGUUGCUAUGUCAUCAGGGGCAUAACAUGCUAACUUACUAAACUCAUCCACAUACUGGCCCACUGUGCAUCCUCCUUGGUGCAAGUUGCGAAACUCGCGCUUCUUCAUGUUCAUAGCUCUUGCUGAAACAUGGGCAGUGCGGAAAGCCUGCUGAAACUGGUCCCAUGUAACAGUGUUAAUGGGGCAAGUGGCUGUGAAAUUCGCCCACCAUGAUGUUGUGGGUCCAUCAAGCUGAUGUGUGGCAAAAUGCACUCUAUCUGCAUCUGUGCAUCCUACAGUGGUCAGCUCCCUUCCAAUCUUGCGGAGCCAAUCAUCUGCAACAAUCAGCUCGGUGCUACUAGAGAACACCGACGGAUUCAGCCUUAGGAAACGGGUUAAGUGAUCAACAGGUGGUGGUGGUGGUGGGUUGUCGUUGUUGCCUUGAUUCUGAUUCUGAACUAGUAGCUGCAUCAAGGUAUUUUGCUGCUGGAUCAACUGAGUGAGCUCCGGUGGGAAAGCAAAUCCAUUGUCAUGUCUCGGAGGCAUCUGAUGGGUUUAGAAAAGGUGAGAAAACAGAAUAGAAUGAGGUCUAAAGGGAAAACACUACCCAUAUGCACAUGAGACAAACACAAUCAUAUCACUUUCAAUAAAUUUAAACAAGGGCAUACAAUCGGUCUAACUAUCGUUACAAAAGUGCUCGGACUAUUCUAUAUACAUGGGGGAAUACUACUACUGAUAUGGUGGUCGGAUAGAAGUUUUGAUCGGUGGAAGACUCCAUGAUAUCUGCUCCAGCUUCAUCAACAUAGUCAUCAUCGCUAUCGUCGGGGUCAGAAUCUGUGUCGUCGAUGAUGAUGUAGUCCUCCGAACGAAUGUCCUUGGAAUGGUCAUCAUCUCCUCCUGGCACGGGGUCUCCCAUGAAUACUUCUAGCUUCCUCGUCAGGUCGUCAUUCUUCUCCACUAGUAUCAUCAUUUCCUCCUCAUAUCCAUCACGUGUAGACUUGAGUUCCUCCUCCAGCUCCGAAAUCCUGGUCAUUGCCUUCUUCAGAUCUAUCAUGCCUGCGCACAUCUGGUUCUCCUGGCGACGAAUGUGCUGGUUUAACUCCUGGAUGAAAGCUGCAAUGGGCCUGUCCCUCCUGGUGCUGAUCAUCUCCCAUUGCUCAUCCCGGCGCCCACAUAGCUGGUAGAUGGUGUCCUUAAGAUCCUUGUGAUAAACUUCUCCAAUGCGUCCCAUGGCGAUGUGGGCUGCCAUGCUCUUUCCUAGACUCCAGGUUGGUGCAUGAAAGGAAAACUCUAUGGGCUCAGUGACUGGCAUGAACGUCCUUCCUGGAACUUGAACUCGAAUCAUCCAAUGCUCCUCUUCUGGUAAAGUGGCGUUGUAGGUCCCGGUGAAGCUUGGUAUUCCGAUGUUCAGGUACCUAGUGACUUCCUUCAAGUGUCGUCCAAAAGGAGUGUCUUCAUCCGGUUGUGUAAACUUGUUCCUUGAGUCCGCCAUCCUAUAGUGUGGAAAAGGGAGAGGAGUCAGAAAUGAGUAGAGAAGAGUGACCUAUGGUUUAACUUAAUGGUCGUGUCCUACAGUCAGCGUGUGCUCUGAUACCAUCUUGUAGCGACCAGACCUCAAACAGUCUAGUCUCUGUGCAUCAGUGUCAUCCUUGGAUCUGUAAUGCUGACACGCACAGUACUUGAGGAUUUAUAACAGAGUUUCAAUCACACACUUAUUACAUCGAAUGUCUCAAAAGAGAACUUAUUACAAUAAUAUGGCUUAAGGCUAUAUAAAAAAAGAUAACAGCGGAAGGCUUGGAAGAUAAAGUGAGUCCAUCAACUCCAACGGCAUAGCUGAGUGAACGACAACGACCUAUGGCACAUUACUCGUCGUCUGAAAAGUCUGCAACAUGAUAUGUUGCAGCCCGAAACAGGUCAGCACAUGGAAUAUGAUGGCAAAGUAACACCAAAGAGUAAUGAACAGAAUAAAUGCUAUCACUACAUGCAUAUAUGGCUAGUGGAAAGCUCUAUGGUUACAGUUUUUGCAUAAAGCCAAUUUUUCUCUACAUCAAAGGAAUAAAUUUUAUUUAACUAUCAUGGGGGUUGUUAAACAUUGAGAAGGUUCCUCCAACUCAAUCCCAAUUAAGCAAUAUCAUUAACCCAACAAAUUAAUUUAGAGUGAUGAGAUCAACAGGAUAAUGCAAGAACCAGAUACUCAAGAUGUCCAUAACCGGGGACACGGCUAACCAUGAUUAGUUUGUACACUAUGUAGAGGUUUGCUCACUUUUCCCCACAAGACUCGGUCUCCUCCGUUAGAUUUCUCGCACUACAUGGUGUUUGAGAAACGGAUGACCGAGACACAAUCUUUUAGAAACAUUAACUCUUUACUCAGGAUGGACAGUUACACCUACUUUCCCCUACAUCUGCUAGCCCACCACUAAAAGAGGUCUUGCAACCUACUCAACUAUGCUAGAGCCCAUAAUAGCUUGUGGUUGCACACGGAAGUUUCUAGCAUGAAUAAUCUUAUGAUCCCUUUGAGCCUGGGUGGCGAACCGUAGGAUGAUCACACGGGUACUCUGGGAUAUCCUAGGACAACACUGGAUUCUCCAGGUGCCCGCACCCAAUCCACCCAGAUGUGUACUUAAGUAGCCACCUUAAGUUAUCCAAUAAUUAAAAAAUCUCACAUCUGUCAUGGAUACACUGACCCAAUCCACGUCUACGAGCAUAGCAUAGCAAUCUUGAGCAUAACGUAGAAGUGACUCGCAAAGGUUUGAUAAUAAAAGGGCAAUAUGUUCUACCUCAUCAUCUACUUCCCAAACCCACAUGUUAAACAGAUCCUAACCAUGCAACAUUUGAGGAUUGAAACUAAUGCAUAGAAACUGGGUAAUAACGGGAUAUGAUCAAAGUGUUACUUGUCUUGCUGAUGAUCUACAAAACCUAGAGACUCAUAGUAGCACGCUUCGCACUCCAGGAAUUCUAUCGCAAACAAACAAUAACAUACAUAAGACUCAAAUAAGAAGCAUGGGUAAAACUCAAAUAAGAAGAUCUAACCAGAAAGUUCAACUGAAGAACUCCGGUUUGCAAAAAGAAUCAAAUCAAACGGAGCAACGAAACUCAAAACUAUGAACGAAACAAGAUUCAUUUACUAAUCUGGACUAAAUUCAAAUUUUACAAUACCAAAAUCAUGUUCAAGUUGGCUAAACAGAAAGAGGGCUUAGAGACGAAGAUUUAGGCGCUGGUUUCAUCUAAUUUGGAUAAACAAGCGAAAAGUUAUACUAGAUCGAAGAUCAGGGCAGAAAUGGUGAUCGAAAAUAAUCGCAGAUAAAACCCUGGAAAAUAAAACGAGACGAACAGGCUAACGAACGAACGUUCGUUAACAGAACCUAAAUGGUGAAUGGCGUUCAUUAAAACGAACGAACGAACGGACGAACGUCCGCUAAAUAACUAAACUGGAAAAAAACCGAACCGAUCUAUUUAAAAAAAAUAGAUCUAAGGUUUUAAAAAAACAAACGGUUAACCUAAAAAAGAGACAAACGGCGGUGGCGGCGGCUACCUCCAACGAGGUGUCGGCGGGGCGGGGCGGCGUCGGUGGAGCUCCGGCGGCUGCGGUGGUGAGGGGCGACGGCGGUGCGGGCGGUGGUGGCUCGCGGCGCGGGCGGCAGUGGCUGCGAGUGCGGGGCGGCGGUGGCGGGUGGCGGAGAGGGCAGCGGGGCGGCGACAUAUAUAGGGGGUCGGGGGGUUCCGACUUGGGGGAGGAGGCGGCCGACGGCGUGGCGCGGGCGGACUCUGGCGAGUCCGGCUCGGGCACGGAAGGGAGGCGGCGGCGGCGGCGACUUGGGCCGGCCUGCUCGGCUGGGCUUCGGCCCAGUCGGGCGGGGAAACCCUUUUUUCUAUAAAUAAUUCCGCCGAAAACAGAAAAAUCCUAAUAAAAUAUAAAAAAUUCCUAAAAUGCCACCGUCUAAAAAGAAUAUUUAAAACGAAGAGAACAUUUUUCUGGCCUAAGAAUGCAAUUUUAAAAACAUGCAUAUUUUCUAAUUCAAAUAAAAUAGCGAUAAACUCCCAAUAAAAUAUAAAUUUGAUUUUAACAUUUUUCCUCCGAUAUUUUUUUAUUUUGGAGAAGUCAUUUUAUCCCCUCUCUUUUCUUUUGAUAAUGGAAAUAUUCGGAGAGAAAAUGAUUAAAACCAAAAUGAUCCUCUUGUCAAUAUUUGAGAAAAUUCAAAUAUGAAAAUAAACAAAAUCCCCAACUCUCUCCAUGGGUCCUUGAGUUGCGUAGAAUUUCUAGGAUCAACCCAAAUGCAAUAAAAUAUGAUAUGCAAUGAUGACCUAUGUAUAACAUUCCAAAUUGAAAAUUUGGGAUAUUACACUCAGGUUAGGGGUUUGUUCACUCACCAUUGCAUGAGAAAAGAGAGGUAAUAGGGAUUCCCAGUCCCAAAUUGCAAAAGUACUUAUCAAUAAUCAAACAAAAACUCCUAUGGAGCAAAAACCUUUACUUUACCGCUUGGGAACCGCUACUAAUUUGUUUAGCAUGGAAGAUAUUGAUAACUGAUGGUCGCGAAUAAACAAGAAGGGUGCAUGUGUCUAAAUUUCAUUUACCUCUAUUUUAAAAACUUGAGCUCUGGCACCUUUGCAAAUCACUGCUUCCCUCUGGGAGGGGACUAUCUAUUUAGUUUUAUGUUGUGUCAUCACCCACUCAAAUAAGCACUAGAACCUGAGAGCACUUCUGUCAUGCUGAUGCAUUGUGUGUAGCUAAUGUUGGGUGCAUCAUGACUGGAUCUUUUAUACCAUGAAUUACGAUGUUUAGUCGCUGCUUGAACUUUGGGACUGCUCUGCAUUUAUGUUUUGCGGUCUCACAAAGGGCUAGUGAGAUACCACUACUGUCAUAUUGUAUCAUAGUUGUUUUAACAACGUGUUGCUGUUCGAGAUGUCUUAUUAUUGCUUGCUAGUUGAUUAUGUCAUUGAUAUGAGUUAAUAUAACUUUUAAGAGUUAUUGUCGACAUGGUAAGUUAUAAUCUUUGCUGCAAACCUAGGUGUUGUUUAAGCUUAUUUAUGGAAACAAGAGCAAAAUAGUUCGCAAAAGUUUUUCUUUUUCACUUUCAGUUUAUCAACUGAAUUGCUUGAGGACAAGCAAAGGUUUAAGCUUGGGGGAGUUGAUACGUCUCUGUCAUAUCUACUUUUCCUAACACUUUUCCUCUUAUUUUGGACUCUAAUUUGCAUGAUUUGAAUGAAAUUAACCCGGGCUGACAUUGUUUUCAGCAAAACAACCAUGGUGUUGUUUUGUGGAGAAAUAAAAGUUCUCGGAAUGGAACGAAACUUUGCAGGGAUUUUUAUACGAUAAAAGAGAAUUUCUAGAGCCAAGAACCACCGGAGAGAGGCAACCUGGGUGGGCACAACCCACCAGGGCACACCACCCCCUCUAGGCACUCCCAGGUGGGUUGUCCCCACCUAGUGGCCCUGCAGACCCUGAAACCAAUGCUAUAAAAUCCUAUAUUUCAAGAAAAAAUCAGGGAGAAAGAAUUAUCACGUUCCAUGAGACGGAGCCGUUGUCAUCUCCUGUUCUUCAUCGGGAGGCCAAAUCUGAGUUCGUUUGGGGCUCCGGAGAGGGGGAUCUUUGAUCUUCGUCAUCACCAACCCUUAUCCAUCGCCAAUUCCAUGAUGCUCCCCACCGGGAGUGAAUAAUUCCUUCGUAGGCUCGCUAGUUGGUGAGGAGUUGGAUGAGAUUCAUCAUGUAAUCAACUUAGUUUUGUUAGGGCCUGAUCCCUAGUAUCCAUUAUGUUCUGAGAUUGAUGUUGCUAUGACUUUGCCAUGCUUAAUGCUUGUCACUUUGGGCCCGGGUGCCAUGAUUUCAGAUCUGAACCAUUUAUGUUAUCACCAUUAUAUUCAUGUUCUAGAUCCGAUCUUGCAAGUUAUUGUCACCAACUACAUGUUAUGAUCCGGCAACCCCAGAGUGACAAUAGUCGGGACCACUCCCGGUGAUGACCGUAGUUUGAGGAGUUCAUGUAUUCACCUUGUGCUAAUGCUUUGUUUCGGUUCUCUAUUAAAAGGAGGCCUUAAUAUCCCUUAGUUUCCAAUAGGACCCCACUGCCAGGGGAGGGUAGGACAAAAGAUGCCAUGCAAGUUCUUUCCAUAAGCACGUAUGACUAUUUACGGAAUACAUGCCUACAUUAUAUUUAUGAACUGGAGCUAGUGUUGUAUCUCCCUAGGUUAUGACUAUCUCAUGAUGAAUAUCAUUCAACUAAUCAAUGAUCCAAUGCCUACGAUUUUCCUAUUGUUCCUGCCAAGUUACUAUUGCUAUUGUCACUAUUGCACUUGCUACAAAACUACUGCUAUCACUGUUACCGUUGAUGUUGCUACUGCUACCAUUAUCAAAACUAUCAUAUUACUAUGCUACUGAUCACUUCGCUGCAGAUAAUUAAUCUCUGGAUGUGGUUGAAUUGACAGCUCAGCUGCUAAUACUUGCAAAUAUUCUUUGGCUCCCCUUGUGUCGAAUCUAUAAAUUUGGGUUGAAUACUCUACCCUCGAAAACUAUUGCGAUCCCAUAUACUUGUGGGUUAUCAAAGAUCAUGCUCAUUAGUAGCUUCUCCCUUUGUAGUACAGAUAACAGUAGGUUAAUAUCCUAAUCUAACAAACACUUUUGAUCCUUGUUUUCUUAUGAAUAAAUCUGCUAUAUGUCCACUAAAUUAACGUAAACCCUAAAGCAACAUACUAAUGUAAGAGAUGGGGUACUUCCUUUAGAUCAACAUGUGCUGACAUACAACACAUCCUUUUGUCUGAAAGAAAGAUAUGUAGUUCUCCAGAAACUACAAAUAGAUGCAAGGUCUCAACAAUUUAAAGAUAUUUUAUGUUCAGAGAAAAUGAUUCACACCAGGCCAAAUUUGGAUGUGCCUAAAUUAGGUACAGUGGUACAUGCUAACAAUUGUGAUUUACCUAGACAUUUUAUUUACAUACUAGGAACUUGUUUAGUACAAAAUUAAUAGAGUACACUUUGGUACAAGAAGUAUAAAUCUUGACAAAAUGGGAUAUUAGCCUCUCCAAGCUACAGGACCCUUAGGAACUCUGUAUUCAAUACACAUCAGUUUAGUAAAAUAUUUAGAUCAACAUAAAAUCUACAAGGAAUACUAGAAGAUAUUAGGCAUAGCAUAUUAGCAUUGCAUCAAAAUACCAUUUGUAGUAAUGUAGAUUGGGAAAUUACACACUUCUUUGCUCAAAUAUCAUCAACACAUGACCUUUCGCAAGAUACCUGAGACAUUUGUAUUUCUACAUCAGUGCACGUGUACAAAGAAGUUAAUAUUUGAGAGCAAUCCAGAAGGACAUACAGAAACUUUUCCGCAUCCCAACUGCACGCAUCACAUGACUAUCCGUCUUGCCAUCCAUCUUCUCUUUUCUAGAUUCGGCAACUCUAUGUAAUCUAUAAACCAAAGUAGGUUUGUGACAACAUCUUCUGUUUAUCAAAGAUGUUUUUCAUUCAGAAUAGGUUAAUAUGGUUAAGAUGGUUUAUCUGAACUCCUAUUAUGAGAAAUUGGCCCAUGAAGAACAUGUGAGACAUAAAUAUUUCAUGAUCUUGUGAAGGAUCAGAUGCUGACUGAAGAAAGUCGGGAGCCAACAACAAGUUGAAUACCACGAGUUUGGAUUGAGUACUUGGAGCAAGGUGAAAUCUAAAAGGGUUCUGACUUGAGCACUGAAGUUCUUAUUGAAACAAGUCAAGGAACAACAAAACGUGUUAUAGUCAAAGUAUACCAUAGUUCCUACAUCCAGUAACUUCACCAUCUUAAAUCCUAGGGGAACGCAGAACCUUACAGCCAAAGAAAUCAGUACCAUAGUUUUCUUUGGCCGAGUUGGCAAUGAUUGAGGGUAGCUCGAGCAAGCCGGCAUCUCCACAGAGUGUGACAACGAGGAGAAGUGAUGCGAUGUUGCUCGUCGUUAUUAGUUAAUUUUGUAGUGCUGCAGCCGCACCAUUCUGCAAUCAUCACAAUGAAAAGAUCAAACCAAAACUUCAUGCUGAACUAAGCAGGCUGAUCAAUAUUGAAGUUGACUUAACGAAUACUUAAUUAAGGGAGACAAUGUUUCGGUAACACGCAACCAUCAUGCAGCCUUGCGUGGAUGUCCAUCUCACAACAGAUCGAUCUAUUACUAUGAUGCGAAUGCAAUCCAACAAACAGACACAUGUUGGCUGAAGCAAGGUCAGUUUCAGAGCCUGUAAAUGAAUAUGAAAUCAAGGAUUAUAUACAAAAUAAAUAGGAAUAUUAGGACAGAUGGACGCGUGUGAGACUUAUUCCUAUAUUAUUACACAACACGUGACAAGGAAAUUGACAAGGAUUCAUACACACACAUAGCAGCAACAACGAACUAUUGAGAUUAAAAAAGGACGCAAGCAUUCUUCCAGAAUUAUCGCAUAUGGACUCAACCAUACAUACAAAAUUCCAAAUAGAUCAACCAAACUAUAAACAACUGCUUGCGUUUGCAUAACUAGAUAGCAAUGCACAUUGAAAGAUGUAAGCACGAACCUAAAGUACCUAGAAUGGUUAAGUGAUUUUGCAGCCUCUAGCACCAUGAUGGGGUGUUAUAUAGCCAUGAUGUACGACACCACGACGGGGCGGCUAACACUAGGCAGAAUAGAUCACAUUCAUGAUUUCCGUCAAAGAUCGACCAUCAAACGAUGGCCAUGUCACCACAAAGAACCAAAGAGAGUACACAAACUACAAACAGAGAAGUGCCUUACUAAACGAUCUGUGUCGGCGGUGAGGUAGUCGAGGCGGAGCAACAUCUUUGAGCCCGAACUGGUAGCGGUGCAUAUGGAGACGUGAGGUAGAUGACCUACAUGGGAUUCGCACCGGUGGCCCAUGGCGGCUAGGGUUGCUACAGGGUCAUGUUCAGCAGCACAGAGGAAGUUGCGGAGGAUCGAAGGAGAGGACUGAGGGGCAGCUGGGCUGGUGAGCGACAUUGUGGGAGAGCACCGCAGCUAGCAGAAAUCAAUGGUGGCGGGAAGCAUCACGUUGAUGGAGUUCAGGUGAGAGGGGGAUCAAGGUGGAGGGAGAUGGUGGAUAAGAAAUUUUGGGUAAAGAUGGGUACCGCCGUACGGGGAGGUUAGAUUUUUCCUAGGAGAGGAGGUUAAAGCUAAGUAGGGGAGGGUGGGAUAAGUCCGGAGGUGGAAGGUUAAAACAAACAACACAUGUUAUCAUUUCGUUGGUAGAUAUCUGUUGGUAUAGGUGGGUUCUUGUUGUAGUGUUUGAUAAUUUGAUAUGUGGGUGGACCGAUGCUUGGGUGUUGUUCUUACUUGAACAAACCUCCCACUUAUGAUUAACCCCCUCACAAGCAUCCGCAACUACGAGAAAAGUAUUAAGAUAAAAUCUAACCAUAGCAUUAAACAUAUGGAUUCAAAUCAGUCCCUUACGAACUAGCGCAUAAACUAGGGUUUAAGCUUCUGUCACUCUAGCAACCCAUCAUCCAAUGACUACUCCACAAUGCAUUCCCUUAGGCCCAAAGAUGGUGUGAAGUGUCGUGUAUUCGACGUUCACAUGACACCACUAAGGGAAUCUUAACAUACAUAUCAUCAAAAUAUCGAACUCAUAUCAAAUUCACAUGAUUACUUGCAACAUGAUUUCUCUCGUGGCCUCGAGAACAAAGGUAACUACUCACAAAUUAUAUUCAUACUCAAGAUCAGAGGGGUACUAAAUAACAUAAUGGAUCUGAACAUAUAAUAUUCCACCAAAUAAAUCAUAUAGUAAUCAACUACAAGAUCUAAUCAACACUACUAGUCACCCACAGGUACCAAUCUGAGGUUCCGGUACAAAGAUUGAACACAAGAGUUGAACUAGGUUUUGAGAUGAGAUGGUGAUGUUGAAGAUGUUGAUGGAGAUUGGCCUCCCAAAGAUGAGAGAGUUUUUGGUUAUGAUGAUGGCCUCGAUUUCCCCCUCAGUGAGGGAAGUUCCCUCAGCGAAAUUGCUCUGUCGGAGGGCAAAAGUGCCCCUGCCCAAGUUCCGCCUCGAGACAGUGGUGCUCCGUUCCGAAAGUCCUCUCCUUACUUUUCUAGGUCACAAGACCUCAUAUACCAUAAGAUGGGCACCAGAGGUGGGCUGAACUUCUCACCACCCACCAAGGCGCGCCUCGGGCCCUGGCGCGCCGUGGUGUCUUGUGGGCACCCAGUGCCCCCCUCCGGUAGUUCUUUUCUCCAAUAUUUAUGAAAUAUUCCAAAAUAUUUCUCCAUUAAAUUUUAGCUCAUUUGGAGAUGUGUAGAAUAGGUAUCUCUUACAUAGCUUUUUCAGGUCCGGAAUUCCAGCUGUCGGUAUUCUCCCUCUUUGUGUAAACCUUGCAUAUUAUGAGAGAAAAGGUAUUAGAAUUACUCCAUAAAGCAUUAUUAUGCAUCAAAAACAUUAUAAAUAACAGUAGGAAAAUAUGAUGCAAAAUGGACGUAUCAAUGGGUGAACAUGAUCCUAACAUCUGCAACUGCCUCUGUUAUACUUAAUGGUGUACUAGGGAAAACCAUACAUUGCAAAUGUGCAUUUAGACAAGGUGAUCCUUUUUCCCCUCUGCUCUAUGUGAUUGUGGGAGAAAUCCUACAAAUUUUGGUUAAUGAAUCUUGGAGAAAUGCCACCCUAAAUCUCCCAUUUGACACUGCAUUCACUGAAAGUUACUUUAUCAUACAGUAUGCUGAUGAUACACUUGUAAUUCUCCAUACUGAAGUUGACCAUAUUAAGAGAUACACUGAUAUCUUAGACACUUUCUCCAAAUUCACUGGACUGGUUGUUAACUAUAGUAAGUCCUCUCUGGUUCAAUAAACAUUUCUUAUGAUAGGGCCUAGGAGCUAGCCAAUAUUAUUAACUGCAGAAAACAAACUAUACCAUUCACCUAUCUUGGUAUACCUAUGGGCUCUGCUAGGCCUAAAUUUUAGGAUCUUAUGCCCAUGGUUUCUAGGUUGGAUAAUAGAUUGUCUGGGAUUGCAUCCAUGAUGACAUAUUCUGGCAGACUUAUCCAUCUCAAGGCCAUUGUCUCUGCUCUAUCUAUAUUUGCAAUGUGCUGCAUUCGAGUUCCAUUUACUAUCCUAGAUGAAAGGAUCGAUAUGGUCGACUAGAGGGGGGUGAAUAGGCAACUAACAUUUUUUAUCUUUUCUUGACCAAAUUAAACAUAGCAUCAAAGUAGGUUGUCUAGAUGUGCAACUAGGUGAACAACCUAUAUGAUGCAACAACAACAAGCACACAAGCAAGCAAAGGAUACAACACAAUAUAAGCUUGCACAAGUAAGGUGAGAGAUACCAAGAGUGGAGUCGGUGGAGACGAGGGUGUGUUACCGAAGUUCCUUCCCUUUGAGAGGAAGUACGUCUCUGUUGGAGCAGUGUGGAGGCACAAUGCUCCCGAGGAAGCCACUAGGGCCACCGUAUUCUCAUCACGCCUUCACACAAUGCGAGAUGUCGUGAUUCCACUAUUGGUGCCCUUGAAGGCGGCGACCGAACCUUUACAAACAAGGUUGGGGCUAUCUCCAUAACUCAAUUGGAGGCUCCCAACGACACUAUGAAGCUUCACCAUAAUGGAAUAUGGCUCCGAGGUGAACUCAGCCGUCUAGGGUGCUCAAACACCCAAGAGUAACAAGAUCCGCGAGGGAUUAGUGGGGGGAAUCAAAUUUCUCUUGGUGAAAGUGUAGAUCGGGGCCUUCUCAACCAAUCCCCAGAAAAUCAACAAGAUUGAUUGUAGGGAUGGCAGUUUUGCCCAUGGGUAUGAGUACCCGCGGGUACCUUAACUGAAAACAGUGGUCAUGGGCAAGACUUGACAAGAUUGUGUAUCCAUGGGUAAUGGGUAUCCAUACCCGCAAAAUAUAUGGGUAGGGCAUGGGUAUGGAAUUAUGCCCAUGGGUAAUCCAAUGGAUAUCCAGAAAAAUUUAAUAAAUGAAAAUAACUCCUCUGGAAUGUGGGGUCAACAUUCAACUCAUAUGGCCCAACCCAUAAUACGUUCAACCAACCAUAGCUCAUAGGCCCGUAGCCACAAGUUUGCCACUCCUACGUCCUAUACCCCUAGAAACGAUGAAAUCUUGACUCAUCACCAACAGAGUCUUGUCCAACUCCUGCUUAUAUUACAUACUAGGGCCCCUAUGGUUACACAACCUAGUCAGCUACGUCGUGGUGGGGACCUCCACAGCUCUGUCUUCCCUAACUUGGGUGAUUUGGCUUCCAAAAUAUAUUUUUGUGUACAACGCCAUGGUCCACCAUGAUAGCCUAGGGCGGAACCGACUUCGAGGUCCUCAGGCUGGCCUACCAGGCUAGCAACCGACAUUGUGUGGUACCUUUGGGCUGUAACACCGCCAAGAGCCAUUUUUGAAAAAAAGCUUUACAUAUUUUAAAAUUCAUAACAAAUUUUGUAUUUGUGGACACGGUUCAGAAAUAGGAUUAUCUUUAAAAAAAUGGAAACAUUUUUUGAAACCAUGAACGUUUGCGAAAUUCUCGAAUAAUUUUUGAAUUUGUGAACAAAAUUUGAAAAAGGGAAUAUUUAUUUUGAAACUGUUAACAAUUUUUUAAAUUCCCUAACAUUUUUUUAACUUUUGAUUUUUGAAACAAAUGAUAUUUUGUCAGAACUUCCAAACAUUUUCCAAAAUUCUUGAACAUUUUUGAACUUUUGAAUUUUUUUUAAAAUAGGAACAUUUUUGAAAAAUGCGAACAGUUAUUCAAAAAUAAAGGAUUUUUAAAAUUUGUGAUUUUUUUAAAAUAAAUAUUUUUGAAAUUAUGCACAAAUAUUUUAAUUUUGAAAAGGAAAAUAUUAUUAGAAAAACAUGGAGUAAAGAAAUAGAUAAACGUGAAUAUGCUAGUUCCAUCAACUUGAAAGCCAGCGCGCCAUGACGGGCGCUAGGCUCCCAGCGAGCCGGCCGUUUUUCUUCCGAUUUUUCUAUAUCGUCUUCUUUACUUCGGUUCAUUUUACUAAAAUUUAAAAUAUGUUCACAAAUCUCGAUAACGAAUUUAAAAAAUAAAUCAUCAAUUGGAAAAAUAUUCACAAAAUAAAAAAAGCUCAUGAAUUUUUUUUAAUAUUCAUGACUUAAAAAAUGUCUGCCGUUCACGUAUUCAAAAAUUGUUCUGAUUCAGAAAUAUGUUCACGGAUUAAAUUUUGUUUUGCUAAGUGAUAUAGGCUAAGCUAUUCCAGUGAGGUUAAGAUGUCAACCCUUUCUUGUUGCAAAUUCCCAUCUAUAGCCCAAUGACACAAAAAACAUGGCGGUUGAGAAUUAAAAAGUGUCACAAGCAAUAAAACUUGUAGGAUUUAAAUUCUGUUCAAUGAUGCUAGUCCACAUAUUUAGUUUCAGGCAACAGAACUUACAGGUUGGGGCGAUCGUUGUGGAAAUCAUAUUCUCGCGCUACGGGAAUUAUCUUGUCCGAGAAAAAGAAAUACCAAAGUUUCAUUGACACGAAAACAGUUUCCAACAACCAGUAGAUUUUUUUUAGGGAAAUGGUCAAGCAAAGAGGCAACAAUAACAUCAUUCUAACACACUCCUUUUUUUUUGGCAGAGUUUAUUGGUAAAGUAACACAUAAUUUCAGGCAACAAACUGUGUCUGCAUAACCAACAUCUUUUACUGCAGUAGCCAAGUUAAAAAUAAAGUCAGCAACCUCAUCCACCCCCUGCAAGCUACUUUUGCAUAAACAUGUACCGGCACUCGCACAUGGCUACUACUCUCUUCUGUAUCGGCAAGAGGCAACAUCUUAGCUACAAUUCACAUAGAUCACUGGAACACAAGUAUAUGUUCGUGCCUAGGCGGGCUACUUGGUAGUAUGCCUAAAGCAAGAUAACUCAAACUUUUUUUUUUUUGCCUGAAACCUUGGUAAGUUCAUGUAAACUCCGGAAAACCGAGGGGGAAGGAGAUCAUAGGCAAGUAGAUGCAUAUAUGUGCACAACUAGAUUUUCUUUGUUACCUAGAUCCAUUGAUGUUUUAACAUCAACUUGAUUAUUUUGACUUAUGAGGUGAGGCAGCAAAGUGGUGGUGAUGAUUAAUAAGUUGGAACAGAAAUUGGCGAAUUUAACUGGAAAAUAGUAAUAAUGUAAUGGCAAAUUAUGUUGUACACUCUAGUCUAGUUGCUAUAUGCACCAUUCCCAUCGCUCGGUCGACCCAUCACUGUUGCAUGCACGUGUAUUCAUUCCUUGCCUGCUCUUAUUUUGCACAAGCAUAUAGUGAAUAAUGAUAAUGAUAUAAGUACUCCCAUGUGCGUGCUGCUGCACUUUCCAUUAUCGGGUCUAAGGGUUAUUUUCGCCCAGGCUAUCCUGACGCUGCAUACGCGUGCAACAUUCUGGCAUUUUAGCAAAAAUAAAAUAAAAUAAGAAGCGCAAAAAGGCCAAAAAGUAGUGAAGGGAGUACUACCAUUACUACCAAGUAGCAGUAGUAGCACCACUGGCACCUAUAACCACACAAAUUUCAGCACAUAUAUCUGUAAAUUCGUUAACUAAUUCCAAGAUAUGCAUAAAAAUCUACUCCGAAUGCUUUUAUUUGACCAAGGUAGUUCUUCGGAGAGAAAUUUGGCUAAGGUAGUUGCCAUUACACAGUUGCGCGCGCGCACACACACACCAGUGUUCUUGGCAUCAUCGUCUCUCACACCAAGUAGUAGCAAACUACGCGUAAUUAACACACAUACAUAAUCAGUCACUAGUCACUGCACACACACACACACACACACACACACACACACACACACACACACACACACCAGUAGUAGCAAGCUAGGUAGAAAGAGUGCUCCAAAACAGAUAUAGCACUAGUACUGCAGGGAAAUGGGUAGAGAAGCAACGCGUGACGCAUCGAUCGAUAUCAACUAAGGGUAUACCAGUGCGGAGAUCAACUUGCAGACGCCGAACAGGAAGAAGAGACCGAGGGGCACCGCGAGCAGAAUGAAGUGGGCUACCAGGGGGUUCCCGUGGACGAGCACAUGGCUGCUGGGGCAGCUCCCGACGGUGACGCGCGCCACCAAGAAGACGACGUUGUCGAGGCGGUAGAAGGUGGCGACACCCAUCCCAUGGGCGAAGACAGCGAAGCUCCAGGGCACUCCCGUGCGCCAGUCCUCCAACGCGAAGGCGGCCACCGUGGCCGCCGCGGCCUGGGCGGCGCUGGACAGCAGCAGCAGCAGCGCGUCGACGCGCAUGUGCGCCACCUCAUCCUCGGUGGUCCUGCACGUCCCCUG
Molecule: long non-coding RNA, 31259 nt
Filed under: Triticum aestivum (bread wheat)
Lineage: Eukaryota; Viridiplantae; Streptophyta; Magnoliopsida; Poales; Poaceae
Description: long non-coding RNA (TAES_LNC011592)
Source: RNAcentral